GACAGAGGAUGCAAGCGUUAUCCGGAAUGAUUGGGCGUAAAGCGUCUGUCGGUGGCUUUUUAAGUCUGCCGUCAAAUCCCAGGGCUUAACCCUGGACAGGCGGUGGAAACUACCAAGCUGGAGUACGGUAGGGGCAGGGGGAAUUUCCGGUGGAGCGGUGAAAUGCGUAGAGAUCGGAAAGAACACCAACGGCGAAAGCACUCUGCUGGGCCGACACUGACACUGAGAGACGAAAGCUAGGGGAGCGAAUGGG
Molecule: ribosomal RNA, 253 nt
Filed under: uncultured bacterium
Lineage: Bacteria
Description: partial 16S ribosomal RNA
Rfam family: Bacterial small subunit ribosomal RNA
Source: RNAcentral